AUGAACGCUAGCUACAGGCUUAACACCUGCCAGUCGAGGGGCAGCAUGAACUUAGCUUGCUAAGUUUGAUGGCGACCGGCGCACGGGUGAGUAACACGUAUCCAACCUGCCGAUGACUCGGGGAUAGCCUUUCGAAAGAAAGAUUAAUACCCGAUGGCAUAGUUCUUCCGCAUGGUAGAACUAUUAAAGAAUUUCGGUCAUCGAUGGGGAUGCGUUCCAUUAGGUUGUUGGCGGGGUAACGGCCCACCAAGCCUUCGAUGGAUAGGGGUUCUGAGAGGAAGGUCCCCCACAUUGGAACUGAGACACGGUCCAAACUCCUACGGGAGGCAGCAGUGAGGAAUAUUGGUCAAUGGACGAGAGUCUGAACCAGCCAAGUAGCGUGAAGGAAGACUGCCCUAUGGGUUGUAAACUUCUUUUAUACGGGAAUAAAGUGAGGCACGGGUGCCUUUUUGUAUGUACCGGAUGAAUAAGGAUCGGCUAACUCCGUG
This 488-nucleotide ribosomal RNA is filed under the name uncultured bacterium. RNAcentral describes it as "partial 16S ribosomal RNA". It matches the Rfam family "Bacterial small subunit ribosomal RNA", at positions 29 to 507 of the family's 1533-position model. The record is from RNAcentral.